CAGCCGCCGCGGGAACACGUAGGUGGCAAGCGUUGUCCGGAAUUAUUGGGCGUAAAGGGCUCGCAGGCGGUUUCUUAAGUCUGAUGUGAAAGCCCCCGGCUCAACCGGGGAGGGUCAUUGGAGACUGGGAAACUUGAGUGCAGAAGAGGAGAGUGGAAUUCCACGUGUAGCGGUGAAAUGCGUAGAGAUGUGGAGGGACACCAGUGGCGAAGGCGACUCUCUGGUCUGUAACUGACGCUGAGGAGCGAAAGCGUGGGGAGCGAACAGGAUUAGAUACCCGCGUAGUCCCUGUCUCUUAUAC
This 301-nucleotide ribosomal RNA is filed under the name uncultured bacterium. RNAcentral's name for it is "partial 16S ribosomal RNA". It matches the Rfam family "Bacterial small subunit ribosomal RNA", at positions 509 to 807 of the family's 1533-position model. The record is from RNAcentral.